UAGGGAAUCUUCCGCAAUGGACGCAAGUCUGACGGAGCAACGCCGCGUGAGUGAAGAAGGUUUUCGGAUCGUAAAGCUCUGUUGCCAGGGAAGAACGAGUGGGGGAGUAACUGCCCCUGCUAUGACGGUACCUGAGAAGAAAGCCCCGGCUAACUACGUG
Molecule: ribosomal RNA, 160 nt
Filed under: uncultured bacterium
Lineage: Bacteria
Description: partial 16S ribosomal RNA
Rfam family: Bacterial small subunit ribosomal RNA
Source: RNAcentral